This is a long non-coding RNA of Clupea harengus (Atlantic herring), 817 nucleotides long. The record is from Ensembl. Lineage: Eukaryota; Metazoa; Chordata; Actinopteri; Clupeiformes; Clupeidae.
UAUAGAUAUAAAUGGUAAAAGGUUUUUUAUCAAGUCCCUUUCAAGUUAAAAAUACCAUGGAAUCUUCAACACUGUGGUUUUUCUCUUUCCUGUGUCUCAGCAGACUUGUGUUUGUGUUUGUGUGUGUGUGUGUGUGUGUGUGUGUGUGUGUGUGUGUGUGUGUGUGUUUGAAAGAGAGCUAACGUAGGCCCAAGCAACAGCUUGUUCUAGAAAGAUCUGGGAGGGGCAUGGAGUGAGAAGUUCACAAGUUCAGAUCCGGCUCCUGAGAGAGAAGUGUCCAGCCAAGUUGGCUGUCCUUAAAUCACACAAAGCAAAAUAAAUGAAGGCCAGGAUGCAGACAUGAUGUCCAUGUUGAAGCCUCUGGUGGAGACAGGAGUAGUGUGGAGAACACAUCCUACCAGCAGACUGGGAACGAUCAGGUGGAGAACACAUCCUACAGCAGACUGGGAACGAUCAGGUGGAGAACACAUCCUACCAGCAGACAGGGAACGAUCAGGUGGAGAACACAUCCUACCAGCAGACUGGGAACGAUCAGGUGGAGAAAGGAGUGGAGAACACAUCCUACAGCAGACUGGGAACGAUCAGGUGGACACAGGAGUAGUGUGGAGAACACAUCCUACAGCAGACUGGGAACGAUCAGGUGGACACAGGAGUAGUGUGGAGAACACAUCCUACAGCAGACUGGGAACGAUCAGGUGGACACAGGAGUAGUGUGGAGAACACAUCCUACCAGCAGACUGGGAACGAUCAGGUGGAGACAGGAGUAGUGUGGAGAACACAUCCUACCAGCAGACUGGGAACGCGGCUCAGAUCAGGG